Molecule: ribosomal RNA, 305 nt
Filed under: uncultured bacterium
Lineage: Bacteria
Description: bacterial SSU rRNA
Rfam family: Bacterial small subunit ribosomal RNA
Source: RNAcentral
GGUCCUACGGGAGGCAGCAGUGGGGAAUAUUGGGCAAUGGGCGCAAGCCUGACCCAGCAACGCCGCGUGAAGGAAGAAGGCUUUCGGGUUGUAAACUUCUUUUCUGAGGGACGAAGAAAGUGACGGUACCUCAGGAAUAAGCCACGGCUAACUACGUGCCAGCAGCCGCGGUAAUACGUAGGUGGCAAGCGUUAUCCGGAUUUACUGGGUGUAAAGGGCGUGUAGGCGGGACUGCAAGUCAGAUGUGAAACCCAUGGGCUCAACCCAUGGCCUGCAUUUGAAACUGUAGUUCUUGAGUGAUGGAG